Molecule: non-coding RNA, 30 nt
Filed under: Mus musculus (house mouse)
Lineage: Eukaryota; Metazoa; Chordata; Mammalia; Rodentia; Muridae
Source: RNAcentral
UGGAUGCUAACCAACCAAGGGCCUCUCUGG